CACGCUCCCUACUCCCUGCCUCCUGAGGGCCACGUGAGCCACAUGCCAGAGAGAGAAGCGUGCUGUGUUAUUUGUUAAUGUGACGAGUAACAGGAGAGAAUGAGUGAUGCAACAAUCCUGACAUGAGUUAAUAGGUUGGGGAGUACAUGAAGACCAGCAGCAUUUCGGACCACUGAUCUCAACACUGCUUCAGCUACCUGCGUGGAGGGCGAGCAGCGGAUGAGAAAUGCCUUCAGUUCAGCAAGUCAAGAAUAACUUCAAUUCUUAGAAAACGAUUAAGAGUCGUGUUCAUCCCUGCGGAGGUUGAUUCACAAUCCACAAGCAGGUCACCCAAGCCUUCAUGAGAAAAGUUUAACGGCAAUAUGUUUUGAGACACCAAACUCUAGAGGAACCUCGGAAAAGAAAAGUCAUGAAAAACUACAGGAUUUUAGCUAAAUUACUUCUUACCUGGAAGUUACUGGGAUGCUCGCCUUGCGCCACUCCUGAAAUGAGAAACUGCGACCUUGUAAACUUGUAAACUUGUAAAAGAAUGAAAGCGUGGUGGUCUACCUUCAAAUAUACCUUACUAAACCAAAUACGUUAAGAUAUGUAUACUUAUUCCUU
Molecule: long non-coding RNA, 603 nt
Filed under: Portunus trituberculatus (swimming crab)
Lineage: Eukaryota; Metazoa; Arthropoda; Malacostraca; Decapoda; Portunidae
Description: uncharacterized LOC123515940, transcript variant X3
Source: RNAcentral